This 670-nucleotide long non-coding RNA is filed under the name Rattus norvegicus (Norway rat). RNAcentral's name for it is "long non-coding RNA NONRATT030352". Lineage: Eukaryota; Metazoa; Chordata; Mammalia; Rodentia; Muridae. The record is from RNAcentral.
GUUUGAAGACGGAAAGUGCUUCGGGCCUUACAAGGCAGCUGGCCACCACAGGAAGUCUGCAUCUCUGCCUUAAGAUGGUGCACGCUGGUACAGCUAUGUUGACCAUUAAAUACUUCUGUGCCAGUUGGUGAGCAAUCCUUUCCUCAGGCUUCCCCAUAGUUGCAGAUCCACAUCUUCCACCAAUCCUACAAGAUACACAGAGAAGCCCUGGGGUCCUGCGCAUGCACUGUUGCAGGGUAUCCUUUGAAGGAUCCGGAGAGGAAACCAAGAGUCGUUCCACGUUUUGAACAUCAACUCUGGUUGUGGGGAUAAAACAGGAGUCGGGCGCGUCACGUGGCUAAGAUUAAAAGCCUGCAGAGUUUUGAAGUUUGUACGAAGCAUGUGUACAUAGAACCUGCUCAAACCAAGAGCGUAUAUUCCCCCUCGGGACCAAGAAAUCUGCCCUGAAAAGCUAUGGAAACCGAAUCAAGGGAAUAAGAGCAUAGUGUAGCGGAACCUCAGAGACGUUCUCUUAGCCUUUGAGCACUCUGCCCAUGCGCAGAGGAGGGACGGGCUCCGCCAUUCGUUAAACCUCAUUAUGAAGUGCUCACAAUUGGCUGUCUUUACCUUGUUCUUACAAAAAAAAAAAAUAAAUAAAUAAAAUAAUAAAAAAACCCUAGGUUUGUGCAAU